This 2854-nucleotide long non-coding RNA is filed under the name Lucilia cuprina (Australian sheep blowfly). RNAcentral's name for it is "uncharacterized LOC111676080, transcript variant X2". Lineage: Eukaryota; Metazoa; Arthropoda; Insecta; Diptera; Calliphoridae. The record is from RNAcentral.
GCCUAAUAGAACCAUAACCAACGAGAGGGAAAUCAUUCGUUAGUAAACUGGCUGAUGUGCGGCCACGUUCAUGAGUAUACAGCGGACGUGUUUACAAAGAGAAAUUCUAAAUAAUAAAAAAAUUAACCAAUAUAAAUGCAACAAAAUUAAAAUUUUGCAAAAAAAAAAGAAAAUUUAAAAUGCAAUAAAAUCUAAAAAUUUAAAUAUGAAAAUAAAAAAUAAUUUUUGAAAUAAAGAAAUUUUAAACCUAAAACAAGUUUUUUUUUAAAUUUACAGUAAGAGCAAAUCGCUUUAAAAACAAACAACAGUUGCGUUUAACUACUUCCUGUUCAGUUGUAACAUAAACAUACGCAUGUAUUCAAAUGCUUCCGUUUCCUUCCUGCUUAAAUAAACGUAUGGACGCGUUGUUUGGACGUGUUGUGUGUGCGUAUAUGUGCUAGACGCGCUGGAGUCUAUUGCAUAGUGUGUUUUGUAUUUAGAGUGUGAUUUUGAAACUCUUUUGAAAUUUAAUUUUCAAAUAUUCCAAUGGUCAGCACAAAAAAAAAUAAAAAAUAAAACACCUCAACCCAAGAAAAGGAAGAAAGGAGGAAAAGAUGAUAUUGAAUGGAAGAAAUCUAAUGCUGCAAAUGAAACCACAGGAAUUCAUUAACAACAACUUCAUCAUCUACAAGAAAUUAAAACAAACAAAACAUUUUUUUAAACCCCACAACCAUUGUUGUGCACAACAAUAACAACACCUAGAAUAACAGCAUCUACUUAAACAAAUACUGGGAAUUGAUCCCAGAUUCAAGAUAUGCUUGUGGUAAUGGCAGCUUUUGCUUGGUAUUAAAUAUAAUGCGGGGAACAUAUUAAAAAGUCAUCAACCACAACAAAAACAAAAAAAAUAUAUACAGAAUUAAAUUGUAUUUAUUUUAUUAAAAUAAAAACUGAAGAGUAAAAAUAUGUUAUGGUAUAUAGAGAAAAAGGAAUAUAUGAAAUGAACGCAAGUUGUGAGUUAAAAAAACAAUAAAUCGACCACAAGAUAAGAAGAGAAUAAGCAAAAACAAAAUGUAUAAACAACAACCUUGGAAACCAGCCAACUUUAUCAUAAUUUCAAAAAUGAAGAACAUCAUAAUGACGCUGAACAUGCGAUAAUCAUAAUGAUGAGGAUCAUUAUAAUGUUUAAAAUAAGAUUGUUGACAACGAAACUGUCGAUUAUGAUGAAGAUGAAAAUAGCGAAUAAUGCUCGCACUUCAAUGCCAAACAGCAACAAACGUCAACAACAGAGCAGCAACAGCAUCUACAUAUAAACAGUAACAUUAUUGACAAUAAUAUGCCGUAACAAUAAUAAUAAAAGUUUGUAUGUAAAAUAAUUGUUUACAUACACACACGCAUAUUUAUGUAAAGUGAUAAUAUUAAUAAAAAAAAAGAAAAACCCACAAAGACAUCAAAAUGGAAAAGGAGCCAACAAUCUCUUAAAAGCUGUGUCAGAAACAAACGAAAAACCUCAAAAAAUGCUUUAUUUCAUGCUUUUUGAAAAAAGUAUUUUAAAAGUUAAAAAAAUAUAUAUGUAUAUAAUAAAAAAAAUCUUAAACACACUGCUUCCCCCACCACCAUGGUGACAGAUAUAUUUUUAAUUAGCAAAUUAUGUGAAAAUGUCAAACAAAGAAAACACAGAAAUAAAUGGAAACCAAACAACACUAAAAUGAAACCAACAAAUAUUUAAAGAUAUAAAUCACAGAACUAAACUAAAAAUAAAAAUCUCAAUAAACUGAAAAUAUAUAAAAACAUUUUUUUUAACGCUUCUAGUACAAAGACUAUUGAAAUUUAUUUUCUGAAAAUUAUUUUCUUAAUAACUUUUUAACUAAUUUUCAAGUGCUUAAUAAUUAUUUCUUCCUCCUCUUACUUCCGUCAAACACUCACGGCUAAAAGCAAAACACCCGACGAAAUAAAUAUAAAAAUUACAACGCACACCUCCUGUUAUUUAUUUAUUUUUUCUAAAGUGCAAGUGACACUUGUAGAAUUGCAAAGAAAUAGCAAAUGACAAGUAAACAGCAACAACUAAAGAAAAAAAAUGCAAAUAAAUUUAAUACAAUUAAAUAAAAAAAAUAAUGGCAACGUCAACGGAAUAUACAAAUAAGCGACAAAAACAUCACAAGCAACAACAAUAUCAUCAUAAACAACAACAACAACAACAGCAGCAGCAAGCACAACAACAGCAAUUACUAAGAAAAAGAACUAAAAUUAAUUUUUAAGUGAAACGAAAAUAAAAUAUUUAAAAUAAAAAUAAAACUAACACUAUUUUGAAAAAAAAAGAAAAUAAAAUAAGAGCGAAGAUCUAGAAGCAGACAAAAAACUAGUGGGUUUGUUGUUUUUCGAUUAAACACACUCAAAACAAACGAGAUGUCGUGUAUGACCACGACCUCGACCAUCAUAAAAAUGAGGAAAAAAUUUCUCCAACAAGUUUUGCUAAAUAAAAUAUAAAAAAUAAGAUACAAAAAAAAAGAAAUAAUAUUGUUUUUAUGUAGAAAAAAUAUAAAGAAAUAAAUAUAAAAAUUAUUAACAGAUAAAAAGAGCGACAACAAGUCAGAAAAGAGUCCAUACAAAUUUUCUAAAAAAAAAAUAGGAAAAAUAUAAAAAAUCUUGUGAUUUGUUUCUUUUGGUUAAAUUUUGUUUUUAUUUUUUAUGGAAAAUCAACACUUCGAAUAAAAAAAUUUUGAAAUUGAGUCCUCAGUCGUUUGAACGGCAUAAAAUAGAACAACGCGCGAGCGCUUCCACUGUGAAUGUGAACAAGUGAUAAAAAAUACGUUAGAAAAUUUAUUUUCAAAAGUAAAAUUUUUCAUUAUUUAAAAAUAAAAGUUUUCCAUUGAUAAAA